UUCCUCCAGAAGCCUCCCAGACCGACUUUUUUGCUCUCUUUUUUCUUCCUCCUGCUUUCUAAACAGCCUCCUUCACUCCCUCAGAUGACUGCCUCCUUAACUGCGGCUCUUCCUCCAACGCCACCUUCUUCAACGACUUCUUCAUCGGAGAUUUCAAUUCCGGCUCGGGUUUUGUCUUCAACAACAAAAUCCCACCUCCAAACUCACCCUCUCCUUACCACACAGCAAGAGGUCUCACCACUACUUCAAGCUAUAGCUUAAGCAUCAGGAAAAUUGGAACUCAUUUGGUUUGACGAUAUAAUGGAACCUGUGCUGAUUCGUGCAAUGGAAUCUUACAAAUAUCAUUAUAAGAUCAGAGUUCGAAUAUCAAGAUUGUGGAGAGCAAAAAGUACAAUACUGACAAAAAUGAUGGUCUGCAAUGCGUUUUGGUUGAUGAAAUGGGUGAUGCAGUUCAUGCAAUUGUAACUGAAUCUGAUUACCACUUGGUUCACAAAAAAUUGCAUCAAGGCAAAGUGUAUGAUAUUGAUCAUUUCUUUACACGAAAAAGCCAGGAGAGUUACAAAAUUGUUGAUCAUUAAGUGCAAGUGUACUUCAAUGCAAAGACUGUCUUUGAACCAGUUGAAGAAAGCUUGCCACCAAUUCCACAACAUCGGUUCUAUUUUGUAGAUUUUGACCAGCUGAGGGCACGCAUUAACAACAAUACAAUUCUCUCAGAUGUUUAUGGCUGUUUGAAGUCAGUUCUACCAGUGCAUCAAGCUCCUGUCAAGGAUAAAGAGGAAUCAAAAUGUGAAAUUUAUCUACAAAACUUAAGAAGAGAAGAUCUUAGAGUCACUCUCUGGGGUAACAUUGCCAGACAGUUUGACAUACAGAGGAUUAAAAAACUGUCUCCACCAGUGCUCAUAGCGUUGACCAGUUUAAAGAUUAAGGAGCUCAUGGGCUGCUGUUGCUGUUCAUGAGAAGCUCGAUUACUGGUAUCUCUGUCUUAACACAGUAGAAGGCAUUGCAUUCUAAGACCUCGAUGAUCGAUUGGACCGGUUUCAAGUAUCGUUCGAAAGCCUUCUUUACUAUUCAUUUUGGGAAACUUUUAAACUUUUGAUUUUGUGAAAUUGACCUCAUUUGAUCAAAUCGGAGGAUCCGAUUGAGCAAUCAGAGAUAUAUGAAAGACUCCAGUUCUAGGUGAUAGCUGAGAGAGUGAUUUAGAAUAGAAAAGAGAGCAGCAGGCAAAGGAACAGUGAUUUUGGGUGAUGUCACAUCGAUCUCCCAGUUUUGGUAGUUGAUCGAUAGACACAGAGAGAGGGUUCGAUCGAUAGACUAAAGGAGAGAGGGGUAGAGUACCAGUUUGAUCAUAGAGAUGGAAAGAGGCUUUAUCACCUGCUCGGGACAUCAACUUGAAGCUUGAACAGGUGAAGGAAAGUACUACCUUUUAGGUAAUUUGAGGGAUGCAUUUAUUUCUCUCUGGGAUUGAUUGCAUGUAAUUUUGUAUCAUUUGUUUUGAGUUUUGGGAGUGCUUUUCAUGUUUGUGGUUUCUGGGUCUAUUUACAUGGUGAGCUCCUUAUAGUAUAUGCUGGUAAGGAAUAUGAAGGCAGGGUAAAUCGAAUUCAAAAUUGAAUGCCUUUGUUUGAACUUGAGUAUUCAGCAUAGGAAGAUCAUAUUACUCUGGCAAAACUUGCAAGCUCUGCCUACUUUUUGUAUCUUCUAUUAAUGAUAAUGUCUGGGAUUUUGGUUUACUUCUUAAUAUCAUACUAGAGGGUCAAUUAUUAUAGUACAAAGCUUUUAAAAUCUGAUUUGAGUAUCUCCAGGGCUACAGCACAUAGUACAAAUGGAAAAGAAAAAAAAAGCUAAUAUGUAACUGAUGCAUAAAAGUUAAUUUUAAAUCCUAAACUGAAUUAAUAUAUUCAUCUUAUUUAAUUUUCCAUAUAUUCAUUGCAUUUAAACAUAGCUGAUCACAAGCAAAACAGCAGAAGAAGAAUGUAGGUCGUUUCAUAUAUUUGUAUCAGUUGUAGGUAGAAUCAACAAUCUGUUACUUUAUUUUAUUGAAUGAUGCAUAAUGAGAUUUAACCUAUUUGGAAUUUCUCUCAUGCCGCAAUUCAUAUGUUUUUUUUUCCAUAAUAUGUAUAUGAGCCUUUAAUUCUUUUUAAGGCUAUUAUACACUGUUGCACCACCAGGCUAUUAAAUGGAAGAUAAUUGCAAUGGCACGUUAUACUUAAAAUCAUGCUCUGUUCUGAGUCAUAUGGCAUCAUGUUUGCUUGCAUGUCCUGACCAUAAUCAGAUUAAGGAAUAACUUUAUCAAGAAAAGAGAGGCCAAUAUAUGUAACAGGAAUAACCAAGUGAACCCAUUGAAAGUAAACUCUGUAGUUCAAGCUUUGAUUGCUCUGUAUUUUCUGCCUACAUUUUACAACUGAAGUUUUACUCAAAUUACAAGUCUA
Rosa chinensis is the source of this 2426-nucleotide long non-coding RNA. RefSeq lists it as uncharacterized. The transcript has 7 exons. The record is from RefSeq and is a predicted model, not a curated record. NCBI's taxonomy places the organism in Eukaryota, Viridiplantae, Streptophyta, Magnoliopsida, Rosales, Rosaceae.